RNAcentral lists this ribosomal RNA (101 nucleotides) under Flavobacterium johnsoniae. Its description in RNAcentral is "partial 16S ribosomal RNA". It matches the Rfam family "Bacterial small subunit ribosomal RNA", at positions 1437 to 1533 of the family's 1533-position model. The record is from RNAcentral. Lineage: Bacteria; Pseudomonadati; Bacteroidota; Flavobacteriia; Flavobacteriales; Flavobacteriaceae.
AACCGCAAGGAGGGCGAUUACCACGGCAGGGUUCGUGACUGGGGUGAAGUCGUAACAAGGUAGCCGUAUCGGAAGGUGCGGCUGGAUCACCUCCUUUCUAG